AGAGUUUGAUCCUGGCUCAGAUUGAACGCUGGCGGCAGGCCUAACACAUGCAAGUCGAGCGGUAACAGGAGAAAGCUUGCUUUCUUGCUGACGAGCGGCGGACGGGUGAGUAAUGUAUGGGGAUCUGCCCGAUAGAGGGGGAUAACUACUGGAAACGGUGGCUAAUACCGCAUAAUGUCUACGGACCAAAGCAGGGGCUCUUCGGACCUUGCACUAUCGGAUGAACCCAUAUGGGAUUAGCUAGUAGGUGGGGUAAAGGCUCACCUAGGCGACGAUCUCUAGCUGGUCUGAGAGGAUGAUCAGCCACACUGGGACUGAGACACGGCCCAGACUCCUACGGGAGGCAGCAGUGGGGAAUAUUGCACAAUGGGCGCAAGCCUGAUGCAGCCAUGCCGCGUGUAUGAAGAAGGCCUUAGGGUUGUAAAGUACUUUCAGCGGGGAGGAAGGUGAUAAGGUUAAUACCCUUGUCAAUGACGUACCCGCAGAGAGCCCGAUCGCC
RNAcentral lists this ribosomal RNA (499 nucleotides) under Proteus mirabilis. RNAcentral describes it as "bacterial SSU rRNA". It matches the Rfam family "Bacterial small subunit ribosomal RNA", at positions 8 to 498 of the family's 1533-position model. The record is from RNAcentral. Lineage: Bacteria; Pseudomonadati; Pseudomonadota; Gammaproteobacteria; Enterobacterales; Morganellaceae.